AACGAACGCUGGCGGCAUGCCUAACACAUGCAAGUCGAACGAGACCUUCGGGUCUAGUGGCGCACGGGUGCGUAACGCGUGGGAACCUGCCCUUAGGUUCGGAAUAACUCAGAGAAAUUUGAGCUAAUACCGGAUAAUGUCUUCGGACCAAAGAUUUAUCGCCUUUGGAUGGGCCCGCGUAGGAUUAGCUUGUUGGUGGGGUAAUGGCCUACCAAGGCGACGAUCCUUAGCUGGUCUGAGAGGAUGAUCAGCCACACUGGGACUGAGACACGGCCCAGACUCCUACGGGAGGCAGCAGUGGGGAAUAUUGGACAAUGGGCGAAAGCCUGAUCCAGCAAUGCCGCGUGAGUGAUGAAGGCCUUAGGGUUGUAAAGCUCUUUUACCAGGGAUGAUAAUGACGGUACCUGGAGAAUAAGCUCCGGCUAACUCCGUG
RNAcentral lists this ribosomal RNA (433 nucleotides) under uncultured bacterium. RNAcentral describes it as "partial 16S ribosomal RNA". It matches the Rfam family "Bacterial small subunit ribosomal RNA", at positions 29 to 507 of the family's 1533-position model. The record is from RNAcentral.